RNAcentral lists this ribosomal RNA (247 nucleotides) under uncultured bacterium. RNAcentral describes it as "partial 16S ribosomal RNA". It matches the Rfam family "Bacterial small subunit ribosomal RNA", at positions 15 to 263 of the family's 1533-position model. The record is from RNAcentral.
GAUCCUGGCUCAGAUUGAACGCUGGCGGCAUGCCUUACACAUGCAAGUCGAACGGCAGCGCGGACUUCGGUCUGGCGGCGAGUGGCGAACGGGUGAGUAAUACAUCGGAACGUACCCUGUUGUGGGGGAUAACUAGUCGAAAGAUUAGCUAAUACCGCAUACGACCUGAGGGUGAAAGUGGGGGACCGCAAGGCCUCACGCAGCAGGAGCGGCCGAUGUCUGAUUAGCUAGUUGGUGGGGUAAACGG